This 480-nucleotide ribosomal RNA is filed under the name uncultured bacterium. RNAcentral describes it as "partial 16S ribosomal RNA". It matches the Rfam family "Bacterial small subunit ribosomal RNA", at positions 27 to 507 of the family's 1533-position model. The record is from RNAcentral.
GGAUGAACGCUGGCGGCGUGCUUAACACAUGCAAGUCGAACGAAGCACCUUGAUUUGCUUCUUCGGAUGAAGAUCUUGGUGACUGAGUGGCGGACGGGUGAGUAACGCGUGGGUAACCUGCCUCAUACAGGGGGAUAACAGUUAGAAAUGACUGCUAAUACCGCAUAAGACCACAGCACCGCAUGGUGCAGGGGUAAAAACUCCGGUGGUAUGAGAUGGACCCGCGUCUGAUUAGGUAGUUGGUGGGGUAACGGCCUACCAAGCCGACGAUCAGUAGCCGACCUGAGAGGGUGACCGGCCACAUUGGGACUGAGACACGGCCCAAACUCCUACGGGAGGCAGCAGUGGGGAAUAUUGCACAAUGGGGGAAACCCUGAUGCAGCGACGCCGCGUGAGCGAUGAAGUAUUUCGGUAUGUAAAGCUCUAUCAGCAGGGAAGAAAAUGACGGUACCUGACGAAGAAGCACCGGCUAAAUACGUG